This 352-nucleotide ribosomal RNA is filed under the name uncultured bacterium. RNAcentral describes it as "bacterial SSU rRNA". It matches the Rfam family "Bacterial small subunit ribosomal RNA", at positions 28 to 391 of the family's 1533-position model. The record is from RNAcentral.
GACGAACGCUUGCGACGUGCCUAAGAAAUGCAAGUCGAACGGGGGAGCAACCCCUAGUGGCGAACGGUCGCGUAACACGUGGGCAACCUGCCCUGAAGCGGGGGACAACAGUCCGAAAGGGCUGCUAAUACCGCAUGUGAAGGGGAAUGGCAUCAUUCCUUGUUCAAAGCUUUAUGCACUUCAGGAUGGGCCCGCGGCCUAUCAGCUUGUUGGUGGGGUAACGGCCUACCAAGGCUUCGACGGGAGCUGGUCUGAGAGGACGGCCAGCCGGAUUGGGACUGAGAUACGGCCCAGACUCCUACGGGGGGCAGCAAUUAGGAAUCUUGCACAAUGGGCGAAAGCCUGAUGCGAG